This 2931-nucleotide ribosomal RNA is filed under the name Escherichia coli. RNAcentral's name for it is "23S ribosomal RNA". It matches the Rfam family "Bacterial large subunit ribosomal RNA". Lineage: Bacteria; Pseudomonadati; Pseudomonadota; Gammaproteobacteria; Enterobacterales; Enterobacteriaceae. The record is from RNAcentral.
GGGUUGUGAGGUUAAGCGACUAAGCGUACACGGUGGAUGCCCUGGCAGUCAGAGGCGAUGAAGGACGUGCUAAUCUGCGAUAAGCGUCGGUAAGGUGAUAUGAACCGUUAUAACCGGCGAUUUCCGAAUGGGGAAACCCAGUGUGUUUCGACACACUAUCAUUAACUGAAUCCAUAGGUUAAUGAGGCGAACCGGGGGAACUGAAACAUCUAAGUACCCCGAGGAAAAGAAAUCAACCGAGAUUCCCCCAGUAGCGGCGAGCGAACGGGGAGCAGCCCAGAGCCUGAAUCAGUGUGUGUGUUAGUGGAAGCGUCUGGAAAGGCGCGCGAUACAGGGUGACAGCCCCGUACACAAAAAUACACAUACUGUGAGCUCGAUGAGUAGGGCGGGACACGUGGUAUCCUGUCUGAAUAUGGGGGGACCAUCCUCCAAGGCUAAAUACUCCUGACUGACCGAUAGUGAACCAGUACCGUGAGGGAAAGGCGAAAAGAACCCCGGCGAGGGGAGUGAAAAAGAACCUGAAACCGUGUACGUACAAGCAGUGGGAGCACGCUUAGGCGUGUGACUGCGUACCUUUUGUAUAAUGGGUCAGCGACUUAUAUUCUGUAGCAAGGUUAACCGAAUAGGGGAGCCGAAGGGAAACCGAGUCUUAACUGGGCGUUAAGUUGCAGGGUAUAGACCCGAAACCCGGUGAUCUAGCCAUGGGCAGGUUGAAGGUUGGGUAACACUAACUGGAGGACCGAACCGACUAAUGUUGAAAAAUUAGCGGAUGACUUGUGGCUGGGGGUGAAAGGCCAAUCAAACCGGGAGAUAGCUGGUUCUCCCCGAAAGCUAUUUAGGUAGCGCCUCGUGAAUUCAUCUCCGGGGGUAGAGCACUGUUUCGGCAAGGGGGUCAUCCCGACUUACCAACCCGAUGCAAACUGCGAAUACCGGAGAAUGUUAUCACGGGAGACACACGGCGGGUGCUAACGUCCGUCGUGAAGAGGGAAACAACCCAGACCGCCAGCUAAGGUCCCAAAGUCAUGGUUAAGUGGGAAACGAUGUGGGAAGGCCCAGACAGCCAGGAUGUUGGCUUAGAAGCAGCCAUCAUUUAAAGAAAGCGUAAUAGCUCACUGGUCGAGUCGGCCUGCGCGGAAGAUGUAACGGGGCUAAACCAUGCACCGAAGCUGCGGCAGCGACGCUUAUGCGUUGUUGGGUAGGGGAGCGUUCUGUAAGCCUGCGAAGGUGUGCUGUGAGGCAUGCUGGAGGUAUCAGAAGUGCGAAUGCUGACAUAAGUAACGAUAAAGCGGGUGAAAAGCCCGCUCGCCGGAAGACCAAGGGUUCCUGUCCAACGUUAAUCGGGGCAGGGUGAGUCGACCCCUAAGGCGAGGCCGAAAGGCGUAGUCGAUGGGAAACAGGUUAAUAUUCCUGUACUUGGUGUUACUGCGAAGGGGGGACGGAGAAGGCUAUGUUGGCCGGGCGACGGUUGUCCCGGUUUAAGCGUGUAGGCUGGUUUUCCAGGCAAAUCCGGAAAAUCAAGGCUGAGGCGUGAUGACGAGGCACUACGGUGCUGAAGCAACAAAUGCCCUGCUUCCAGGAAAAGCCUCUAAGCAUCAGGUAACAUCAAAUCGUACCCCAAACCGACACAGGUGGUCAGGUAGAGAAUACCAAGGCGCUUGAGAGAACUCGGGUGAAGGAACUAGGCAAAAUGGUGCCGUAACUUCGGGAGAAGGCACGCUGAUAUGUAGGUGAAGUCCCUCGCGGAUGGAGCUGAAAUCAGUCGAAGAUACCAGCUGGCUGCAACUGUUUAUUAAAAACACAGCACUGUGCAAACACGAAAGUGGACGUAUACGGUGUGACGCCUGCCCGGUGCCGGAAGGUUAAUUGAUGGGGUUAGCGCAAGCGAAGCUCUUGAUCGAAGCCCCGGUAAACGGCGGCCGUAACUAUAACGGUCCUAAGGUAGCGAAAUUCCUUGUCGGGUAAGUUCCGACCUGCACGAAUGGCGUAAUGAUGGCCAGGCUGUCUCCACCCGAGACUCAGUGAAAUUGAACUCGCUGUGAAGAUGCAGUGUACCCGCGGCAAGACGGAAAGACCCCGUGAACCUUUACUAUAGCUUGACACUGAACAUUGAGCCUUGAUGUGUAGGAUAGGUGGGAGGCUUUGAAGUGUGGACGCCAGUCUGCAUGGAGCCGACCUUGAAAUACCACCCUUUAAUGUUUGAUGUUCUAACGUUGACCCGUAAUCCGGGUUGCGGACAGUGUCUGGUGGGUAGUUUGACUGGGGCGGUCUCCUCCUAAAGAGUAACGGAGGAGCACGAAGGUUGGCUAAUCCUGGUCGGACAUCAGGAGGUUAGUGCAAUGGCAUAAGCCAGCUUGACUGCGAGCGUGACGGCGCGAGCAGGUGCGAAAGCAGGUCAUAGUGAUCCGGUGGUUCUGAAUGGAAGGGCCAUCGCUCAACGGAUAAAAGGUACUCCGGGGAUAACAGGCUGAUACCGCCCAAGAGUUCAUAUCGACGGCGGUGUUUGGCACCUCGAUGUCGGCUCAUCACAUCCUGGGGCUGAAGUAGGUCCCAAGGGUAUGGCUGUUCGCCAUUUAAAGUGGUACGCGAGCUGGGUUUAGAACGUCGUGAGACAGUUCGGUCCCUAUCUGCCGUGGGCGCUGGAGAACUGAGGGGGGCUGCUCCUAGUACGAGAGGACCGGAGUGGACGCAUCACUGGUGUUCGGGUUGUCAUGCCAAUGGCACUGCCCGGUAGCUAAAUGCGGAAGAGAUAAGUGCUGAAAGCAUCUAAGCACGAAACUUGCCCCGAGAUGAGUUCUCCCUGACUCCUUGAGAGUCCUGAAGGAACGUUGAAGACGACGACGUUGAUAGGCCGGGUGUGUAAGCGCAGCGAUGCGUUGAGCUAACCGGUACUAAUGAACCGUGAGGCUUAACCUUACAACGCCGAAGGUGUUU